Molecule: RNase P RNA, 344 nt
Filed under: bovine gut metagenome
Also listed under: 1 other name
Description: Bacterial RNase P class A
Rfam family: Bacterial RNase P class A
About the family: Ribonuclease P (RNase P) is a ubiquitous endoribonuclease, found in archaea, bacteria and eukarya as well as chloroplasts and mitochondria.
Source: RNAcentral
GUCUGCCGGAUGAUCGCGGCUGCAAGUGUCGAAAGACCGCAGGUGAGGAAAGUCCGAGCUUCUCAGGGCAGAGUGCCGGGUAACACCCGGUGGAGGUGACUCCAAGGCCAGUGCAGCAGAAAUAAACCGCCGGCUUUGACCGGUAAGGGUGGAAAGGCGAGGUAAGAGCUCACCGCCUCCCCGGUAACGGGGAGGGCACAUGUAAACCCCACUCGGAAGCAAGACCGCAUAUAAAACGAUACGCUGACCCGGCGUGUUUUAGGGUAGGUCGCUCGAACCUGCCGGCGACGGCAGGUCUGGAUAGAUGAUCAUCUUCAACAUAACUCGGCUUACAGGCAGGCUUC